This 491-nucleotide ribosomal RNA is filed under the name uncultured bacterium. Its description in RNAcentral is "partial 16S ribosomal RNA". It matches the Rfam family "Bacterial small subunit ribosomal RNA", at positions 29 to 507 of the family's 1533-position model. The record is from RNAcentral.
AGUGAACGCUGGCGGUAGGCCUAACACAUGCAAGUCGAACGGCAGCACAGUAAGAGCUUGCUCUUACGGGUGGCGAGUGGCGGACGGGUGAGGAAUACAUCGGAAUCUACUUUUUCGUGGGGGAUAACGUAGGGAAACUAACGCUAAUACCGCAUCCGCCCUACGGGUGAAACCAGGGGACCUUCGGACCUUGCGCGUUUGAAUGGGCCGAUGUCGGAUUGGCUAGUUGGCGGGGUAAGGGCCCACAAAGGCGACGAUCCGUAGCUGGUCUGAGAGGAUGAUCAGCCACACUGGAACUAGACACGGUCCAGACUCCUACGGGAGGCAGCAGUGGGGAAUAUUGGACAAUGGGCGCAAGCCUGAUCCAGCCAUACCGCGUGGGUGAAGAAGGCCUUCGGGUUGUAAAGCCCUUUUGUUGGGAAAGAAAAGCAGCAGGUUAAUACCCCGCUGUUCUGACGGUACCCAAAGAAUAAGCACCGGCUAACUUCGUG